UCAGAAUAAUUCGAUUUGCACGAACGGCUUCUCAGUGUAAGAGAGAGGCUUUACUUGUUAAGCUAUAUUCUG
RNAcentral lists this transfer RNA (72 nucleotides) under Ostorhinchus selas (meteor cardinalfish). RNAcentral describes it as "tRNA-Val". Lineage: Eukaryota; Metazoa; Chordata; Actinopteri; Kurtiformes; Apogonidae. The record is from RNAcentral.